This 652-nucleotide ribosomal RNA is filed under the name uncultured bacterium. RNAcentral's name for it is "bacterial SSU rRNA". It matches the Rfam family "Bacterial small subunit ribosomal RNA", at positions 821 to 1470 of the family's 1533-position model. The record is from RNAcentral.
UGUGGGGACCAUUCCACGGUUUCCGUGCCGCAGCUAACGCAUUAAGCGCCCCGCCUGGGGAGUACGGCCGCAAGGCUAAAACUCAAAGGAAUUGACGGGGGCCCGCACAAGCGGCGGAGUAUGUUGCUUAAUUCGAUGCAACGCGAAGAACCUUACCAAGGCUUGACAUAUACCGAAAACUCAUAGAGAUAUGGGGUCCUUUUGGGCGGUAUACAGGUGGUGCAUGGUUGUCGUCAGCUCGUGUCGUGAGAUGUUGGGUUAAGUCCCGCAACGAGCGCAACCCUCGUUCUAUGUUGCCAGCGCGUAAUGGCGGGGACUCAUAGGAGACUGCCGGGGUCAACUCGGAGGAAGGUGGGGAUGACGUCAAAUCAUCAUGCCCCUUAUGUCUUGGGCUGCAAACAUACUACAAUGGCCGGUACAAAGGGCUGCGAUACCGCAAGGUGGAGCGAAUCCCAAAAAGCCGGUCUCAGUUCGGAUUGGGGUCUGCAACUCGACCCCAUGAAGUCGGAGUUGCUAGUAAUCGCAGAUCAGCAACGCUGCGGUGAAUACGUUCCCGGGCCUUGUACACACCGCCCGUCACGUCGCGAAAGUCGGUAACACCCGAAGCCGGUGGCCCAACUCGCAAGAGAGGGAGCUGUCGAAGGUGGGGCUG